Arachis stenosperma is the source of this 1651-nucleotide long non-coding RNA. RefSeq lists it as uncharacterized. The record is from RefSeq and is a predicted model, not a curated record. The transcript has 4 exons. Lineage: Eukaryota; Viridiplantae; Streptophyta; Magnoliopsida; Fabales; Fabaceae.
AAAAGAAAAGGAAAAAGGAAAAAAAUGGAGAGGGGAAAAAAGGAGAAAAAGGGGGAAACGGAAAUAGAGAAGAGGGAGAACGAAGGGGAGAAGAGAGCCGAGGAUGGAGAGGGAGGAGAAGAGGUCGCCGCUGUCCAGCUCGCACCACCAUCGUCACACACUACUACUGCCUCGUCGCCACCGCCGCACCUUGUUGUCGUAAUCAAAGCCACCACCGCCGUCUGUUGAAAGCAUUCGCGUCGCCGCCAGAACCCUUGCCGUCGUCGUUGCCAUUGGACGAAGGAGAGAGGAAAAGAUGCGAUGUACAUAGCAGCCCACUGUCGUGCUUCAUCUCCGUCGCUGCCAUGGAUGCCGGUGAGUUGCACGGUGUCAUCGGGGUUUGAUGAGGAAGAUUCGUAGAUUGGGUUUUCCAAAAUCAAGGUUUGGAAUUUGGUGAAGAUUGGUUCAUUGGUUGGAUUCUUGGAGUUGCUGUUCUGCCACCGCCGUUGCUGUAACCGUGCCUCGAUUGCCGGAAAAUGGCGUCGUUGUCGGCGGAGAACCACCGUUGAAGCCGCUAUUGCUCUGCUGCCGCCCCCACUAGAGGUAGCUAUUGGAGCUGCCGCCGGAACCCUUGUCUUCUUGGUUGGUCGUUUAGAUGGUAUGCAGCAGUUGUGUAAGGUCUUUGGUUGUUCAAGCUGGAACCUUUGCCAAAUGAGUGAGAAUAAACAACACUAGGAGGAGUUUGCAAGCUGUCCCUAGUAUUUCUUAUUCGCCUACUCGUCAAUUCAAGACAUUCCCAGUGAUGAUGGUGGGUACGGGUUCCGUGUCAAGAAGUGCUGGUUCCCCUGUAGAUAUGAUGCGAGAGAAAGAUGAUGAUGGCCGGUUUGCAAGUGGAGGGUGGAAUAGUGAGGAUGGAAGGCUUAGCUGUGGGUAUUAAGAUGGAGGACUUUUAUGAUAUUAAAACAUUGAAAAUUGGUGGUAAUUCAAUAUGCUUACUUGGAACAUUUGAUGGUCAUGGUGGUUCUCGUGCUGCAGAGUAUUUGAAAAAAAAGCAUCUCUUUGAUAAUCUCAUGAAGCAUCCAUUUUUUUACUGAUGCCAAAUUGGCUAUAAGUGAAACGUACCAAGAUUAUAGGACUAUAAUAUCAAAGGCUGGUAAGGCAAUUGCUCUCUGUGAGGAUCAUAAGCCAAACAGAAGUGAUGAACAAAAGAGGAAUUGAUGCGUUUAAACUAAAUUGAGGAACUGGAUGAAGAAGUUUUAAGAAGAGUUAUACUGCGUUUGGUUUAUUAAGUUAUUGUAUUAAUUAGAUUAUUUUCUUCCCUCGUCUUUGUUAUUACAAGUUUAUAAGAGGGAUAGGAAUUAUAUGUUUUAUAUGUAUAUUAUAUUAUGAGUUAUUAUGUAAGGAGUCUUGUAUAUGAACCUAUGCCUGUUUGUAUUUUUCUUAAGAUAAAGUGUUUAUUUCUGGUUUUAAAAAAAAAUCAGCGAUACAGUUUCGAGGCACAGGCUCCUAUUUUACUAUUUAGUAUGUAAAGUAGUUGUAAUACUUCUUGCUAUCAGAGUGACGCAGCCGGAAGCGUGAUUUCAGAUAGUGAGGGUGUUACAUUAAAUAUAUUUUCAAAUCAUCUAAGACUUAAAUAUCUGCGGAGUAAAAUAUCAAAAAUCUCUUUAUCCUU